UAAAUAAGGAUCCCCCCAGAUACGUUUUUCUCUAAGCUCUAAUCUCUAUCUCAAAAUUUUGCUAAAAUUCUCAUUCGAGCACUCCAUUCUUGUUGAGGUAGAGAACUGACUAGAGCGUUGGAGGGUCUUGCCGGAGCACCCCCAACUUCGGUUUAGACUUUCUUUGCAGGUCCCGAUGGCGGCCGCGGUCAUCCCAACUCU
Molecule: long non-coding RNA, 201 nt
Filed under: Elaeis guineensis (African oil palm)
Lineage: Eukaryota; Viridiplantae; Streptophyta; Magnoliopsida; Arecales; Arecaceae
Description: long non-coding RNA (EGUI_LNC068859)
Source: RNAcentral